CCUACGGGGGGCAGCAGUGAGGAAUAUUGGUCAAUGGACGAGAGUCUGAACCAGCCAAGUAGCGUGAAGGAUGACUGCCCUCUGGGUUGUAAACUUCUUUUAUAUGGGAGUAAAAUGUUCCACGUGUGGGGUUUUGUAUGUACCAUAUGAAUAAGGAUCGGCUAACUCCGUGCCAGCAGCCGCGGUAAUACGGAGGAUCCGAGCGUUAUCCGGAUUUAUUGGGUGUAAAGGGAGCGUAGGUGGAUUGUUAAGUCAGUUGUGAAAGUUUGCGGCUCAACCGUAAAGUUGCAGUUGAAACUGGCAGUCUUGAGUACAGGAGAGGUGAGCGGAAUUCGUGGUGUAGCGGUGAAAUGCUUAGAUAUCACGAAGAACUCCGAUUGCGAAGGCAGUUCACUGGACUGCAACUGACACUGAGGCUCGAAAGUGUGGGUAUCAAACAGGAUUAGAUACCCCGGUAGUC
This 460-nucleotide ribosomal RNA is filed under the name uncultured bacterium. Its description in RNAcentral is "partial 16S ribosomal RNA". It matches the Rfam family "Bacterial small subunit ribosomal RNA", at positions 338 to 795 of the family's 1533-position model. The record is from RNAcentral.